AGAGUUUGAUCCUGGCUCAGAUUGAACGCUGGCGGCAGGCCUAACACAUGCAAGUCGAGCGGAAACGGCAGUAUUGAAGCUUCGGUGGAUUUGCUGGACGUCGAGCGGCGGACGGGUGAGUAACGGCUGGGAACCUGCCCUGACGCGGGGGAUAACCGUUGGAAACGACGGCUAAUACCGCAUAAUGUCUCAGUUCAUUACGAGCUGGGACCAAAGGUGGCCUCUACAUGUAAGCUAUCGCGUUGGGAUGGGCCCAGUUAGGAUUAGCUAGUUGGUAAGGUAAUGGCUUACCAAGGCGACGAUCCUUAGCUGGUUUGAGAGGAUGAUCAGCCACACUGGGACUGAGACACGGCCCAGACUCCUACGGGAGGCAGCAGUGGGGAAUAUUGCACAAUGGGGGAGACCCUGAUGCAGCCAUGCCGCGUGUGUGAAGAAGGCCUUCGGGUUGUAAAGCACUUUCAGCAGUGAGGAAGGUGGUGUACUUAAUAAGUGCAUGGCUUGACGUUAGCUGCAGAAGAAGCACCGGCUAACUCCGUGCCAGCAGCCGCGGUAAUACGGAGGGUGCGAGCGUUAAUCGGAAUUACUGGGCGUAAAGCGCAUGCAGGCGGUUUGUUAAGUCAGAUGUGAAAGCCCGGGGCUCAACCUCGGAACCGCAUUUGAAACUGGCAGGCUAGAGUCUUGUAGAGGGGGGUAGAAUUUCAGUGUAGCGGUGAAAUGCGUAGAGAUCUGAAAGGAAUACCAGUGGCGAAAGCGGCCCCCUGGACAAAGACUGACGCUCAGAUGCGAAAGCGUGGGUAGCAAACAGGAUUAGAUACCCUGGUAGUCCACGCCGUA
RNAcentral lists this ribosomal RNA (834 nucleotides) under uncultured bacterium. RNAcentral describes it as "bacterial SSU rRNA". It matches the Rfam family "Bacterial small subunit ribosomal RNA", at positions 8 to 804 of the family's 1533-position model. The record is from RNAcentral.